RNAcentral lists this transfer RNA (74 nucleotides) under Candidatus Acetothermia bacterium. RNAcentral's name for it is "tRNA-Ala". It matches the Rfam family "tRNA". Rfam says of the family: Transfer RNA (tRNA) molecules are approximately 80 nucleotides in length. RNAcentral also lists the same sequence under 1 other name. Lineage: Bacteria; Candidatus Bipolaricaulota. The record is from RNAcentral.
GGGGGUGUAGCUCUAACUGGGAGAGCGCUGCGUUCGCAUCGCAGAGGCUGGCGGUUCGAAUCCGCUCACCUCCA